AGCCCAUGGUGAGGGCACUGCUGAAGCAAUCUCCUGAAAUGGUCCCAAGACUCAAACAAAAAUUCCCCAUCCUUUUGCAUAUAUUUUGUAAUCAAGUGUCUCAUGUG
Small nucleolar RNA from Zingiber officinale, 107 nucleotides. Lineage: Eukaryota; Viridiplantae; Streptophyta; Magnoliopsida; Zingiberales; Zingiberaceae. The record is from RefSeq and is a predicted model, not a curated record.